Long non-coding RNA from Balaenoptera ricei (Rice's whale), 3763 nucleotides. RefSeq lists it as uncharacterized. The record is from RefSeq and is a predicted model, not a curated record. Lineage: Eukaryota; Metazoa; Chordata; Mammalia; Artiodactyla; Balaenopteridae. The transcript has 2 exons.
UGUAACUCCUUUUCUCCUCCCCAAACUUGAUUAAAAUGCCAGGAACAGGCUUCUACUCCAAUAUGAUGCGAUAACUGAAAUUACCCUCCCACCAAACAGAGAAAACUAUUGCUUCAAAAUAUAUGAAAUAAUUGUUUUCAGACAUUAGGCAACAAUUAGUCCAGGACUGUGAUCCCUGAAGUAAGAGAAACAAACAAGGUGGGCUCUAUGAUUGCCUAAGUUUCUACUUAGAGGAAUAUUCCAGACAGCAAUUCAGGUAGGGGAAUCCCCAGCAGAGCAUGGUAGUCUUGCUGAGGAGUUAAGGAGACAGAGAUAGGAGUUCAGGGAGGCUGAGGUAGCUAGAAGUUGCAGGGCAGAGUUCCAGGAAGAAGUGAGCUAUGUAAAAAAAAAAAAAAAAAAAACUCCAGAAAUCUGCAUAUAGUCCCCUUUGAGUCUUUGCUGAAUACUAAACUUCACAUGUGUAGAGUGAAACUCAACAAAACCAGGCAGAAAAGGAACAAUAGGCUGGUAAAUUCUCAGAGCUCACCCAUGGCAGGGAGACAUUCAAGCUCCAACCUGCUAGAGUAGAGAGUUCUUGUUGAUUACCCAGGGUAUUCAAGAGACCCAAGAAGGGUUAUAUCUUAGGAGUAGGAAUCCUAUCCCAAGAGAAAAGGCUCACCCAGACCUAAUCUAAUAAAGAUUAAAAAUAAGCUCAAAAGGAUCAAACUGAUUUGCAAGUAACUUAACUUAGGCUGCCAGAACAAAGUCUAACACUCUCUAAAGGAAGACAACAAUAUCCCGAUGCUUAACAUCACAACAUUUACAAUGUCCAACAUCCAGUUAAAAAUGACUAGACAUGCAUAGAAGUAGGAAAAUAUAAAACCCAUAAUCAGGAGAAAAAUCAUUUAAUAGAAACAUAUUCAGAAACAAUAAAGAUGAAUGGCUCAAUAUGCUCAAAAGUUUAAAGAAAAACAACAUUCACAGGGAAAGAAAUGGGAGAUAAAAAGUACAAUAUCUGAAAUGAAAUUUUCACUGGAUAGAAUUAACAGUAGACUAGACACUACAGAAUAAAAAGAAAAUCAGUGAAUUUAAAGAUACAGCAACAGAACUGUACAAACUGAAGAACAGAAGAGAAAAAAAGUAUCGAAAAACAUUCAAACAGCCUCAGCAAUCUGUGAGACACUAUAAGGCAUUCUAACAUAUGUAUAAUUGCAGUCCCACAGGAUAGGAUAAGGAAGUGGAAGAAUAAGACAAAUUUAAAGAAAUAGCCAAAAAAUUUCCAAAUUUGGUUUAAAAAAAACUACUGUAGUAAGUUGAAUGGUGGUGCCCCCACAAAAUAUAUGUCUACAUCCUAACUGCCAGAACCUGUGAAUGUGACCUUAUUUGGAAAAAGGGUCUUUGCAGAUAUAAUUAAGUUAAGGAUCUUAAAAUGAGAUCGGCCUGAAUUAUCCAGGUAGGCCCUAAAUCCGGUUUAUAAAACACACACACAGAGAAGUUCCAUGUGAAGAUGCAGGCAGAGACUGAAGUUAUGCAACCACAAGCCAAGGAAUGCUUGGAGCCGCCAGAAGCUUGAAGAGACAAGGAAGGAUUCUCCCCUAGAGACUUUGGAAGGAGUGGAGCUGAUACCUUGAACCUGGACUUCUAAAAUGAUGAGAGAAUAAAUUUUUGUUGUUUUAACCCACCCAGUCUGUGGUAAUUUGUUGCGGAAACUAAUACAAUGAUAAAUCCACAGAACCAAGGAACUCAAUGAAUACCAAGGAACUCAAUGAAUCCCAAGGAAGAAAAACACCAAAAAAACCUACGCCAAGGCCCAUCAUAAUCAAAUGCUGAAAACUAAUGAUAAAAAGAAAAUCUUAAAAGCAUUUUAAAAAAAUUUUUAUCGGAGUAUAGUUGAUUUACAGUGUUGUGGAAAGCAUUUUGAGAAUUGAGACACGCUAUGUAUGUAAGGACAAAUAUAGGAAAUACUACAUACUUUUCGUCAGUAACUAUGCAAGCUAGAAGACAACAGAAUGAAAUCUUUGAAGUGCUGGGGAAAAAAUUGUCAACCUAGAAUCCUAUAUCCUGUUAAAAAUAUACUUCAAAAAUGAAAUGGGGGAAUAAAGACUUUUAUGGACAAACAAGAGCUAAGAGAAUUUAUCACCAGAAGACAUGCAAGAAAUGUUAAAUGAAGUUAUUCAAGUGGAAGGAAAAUGAUACCAGAUGGAAACUUAGAUCUAUACAAAGGAAUGAAGAUUCCCUCAAAAGGUAAAUGUGUGAUGGACUUCCCUCGUGGCGCAGUGGUUAAGACUCUGCGCUCCCAAUGCAGGGGGCCCAGCUUCGAUCCCUGGUCAGGGAGCUAGAUCCCACAUGCAUGCUGCAACUAAGAGUUCUCAUGCUGCAACUAAGGAACCCGCCACCUGCCACAACUAAGACCCGGCACAACCACAUUAAAAAAAUAAAGAAAAGUAAAUGUGUGAGUAAGUAUAAGAAUGCCAAUAAAAUAUUUAAAACCCACAAGAAAGUGGCUGGGGCAUCACAAUUGACUUAAGGGAACAGAAGGUACUAGAACCCAAGCAUUCACAGAGGGAAACCCCAGUGAUUAGCAAGCUGGAUUCCCCCCUUAGCACCCUUGACAGGUGCAGAACAUGCAGGCAGUGGGAACAGCAGAGGUGGGAGAAAGGCUCAGGACUGAAUACAGGGGGGUCUGGUUAAAAUUCAGAACCCCCUCCCCAAUCUUGUAAAGCUGGGAGAUGCCCCCCUUCCUCUCCACAGGAUGCCAGGGGUUUAUUCUUUAUAGAAAUUGAGCUUCAGAUGCACUGAACUCGGACAUUGGUCUGAGGAUGAGGUCAUGGGACUGAAAACUGGUGAACAGUGAAAGCCCAGUCCCUUCCCUGCCUCAAGUCCUGAACCACUGGCAGCCAGACUGCACAUAACACUGCCCCAUCCUACCCCUAGCAGGAGACUGGAGAAUUCCUUCUUGCAGAAACUAGAGGCACCACAGACCUCUGGGUACAGAAAUUUGGGGAUCCCAACAAUAAGCAGGCCAGUCAUCUUAGAGCAGCACCCGUUCGUUAAUAAGCUCCACACCCCCAUCCUUAAAUAUGCCCCAAGAGCCGAGGGUGAGUGGACACUUGAGGAAAGCUGCCAACAUGAAAGAUACCAAAACAUGCAAAUAGAUGCUAAAAACCCAGAGGAAACAACUGUCAAUGCAGGAAACAGAUGAAAAAAAAAUUUGGCCGGGGGGGACAGUAAUUUACACCCUGAGAAAAAUAUGAAAAGGAAAUUGAAUUCAUGAAACAAAAUGGGACGUUCUGACCUGUGACUUCUUUCCCUUGCUUUCUUUAUGCCAGCCAUACCUGGACAGCUUCACCUGCCCCAGUUCUCCCAUCACAGUAAACAGCACCUCAGUUCACUCCCUUUCCAGGUCUAUUCUUCACAGGGCCCAUCAUAGGUGCUGUCAUCCUGUGAAAUAUUCCUCAGGUCCUGACGCCCCUUAGCUCAAAAUCUCUCCAUGGCUUCCCAUCCAGUUGAGAAAAGAAUCCUGGACGUCUCUUUGAACUCACAUGCUCUCCCAUCUCUCCAAGCUCCACUCCUGCAUAUCAGCCUUCUCCGGAACCAUCUUCUCCUGGGUACCAGUAGCCACAAAGCUGCUUCUCGCACUUCAUUCAGGCCACUGCUCAAAUGUCACCUCCUUAGAAAGCCUGGUCCUGACAACCCAUCUCAAAUGUCAGUUGCUAUUUAUCUAUCUGUUGUCCCUUAUCCUGCUCUAGUUCUCUCCCAACAUUAAAUUGCUUAUUUAUUUUUU